CAAUAGCGUAUAUUAAAGCUGUUGCGGUUAAAAAGCUCGUAGUUGGAUUUCUGUCAAGGACAACUGGUCCGCCCUCCGGGUGAGCACAUAGUUUGGUCUUGACAUCUUGCUGGAAGCUGUUGCUGCACUUGGCUGUGUGGCGCAGUGUUCAGCACUUUCACUUUGAGGAAAUUGGAGUGUUUCAAGCAGGCACAUGCCUUUGGACACAGUAGCAUGGAAUAAUUAGAUUGGGCUUUUGCUCCAAUUUGUCGGUUUCUGGAGCUGAGGUGGGUAUUAAUGGGGAUUGUUGGGGGCAUCCGAAUUUAGCCGUCAGAGGUGAAAUUCUUGGAUCUGCUAAAGACGGACAACUGCGAAAGCGUUUGCCCAGGAUGUUUUCAUUGA
This 381-nucleotide ribosomal RNA is filed under the name uncultured eukaryote. Its description in RNAcentral is "partial 18S ribosomal RNA". It matches the Rfam family "Eukaryotic small subunit ribosomal RNA", at positions 592 to 976 of the family's 1831-position model. The record is from RNAcentral.